UACGGAGGGAGCUAGCGUUAUUCGGAAUUACUGGGCGUAAAGCGCACGUAGGCGGCUUUGUAAGUAAGAGGUGAAAGCCUGGUGCUCAACACCAGAACUGCCUUUUAGACUGCAUCGCUUGAAUCCAGGAGAGGUGAGUGGAAUUCCGAGUGUAGAGGUGAAAUUCGUAGAUAUUCGGAAGAACACCAGUGGCGAAGGCGCUCUACUGGGCCAUUACUGACGCUGAUGGACGAAAGCUAGGGGAGCGAAAGGG
RNAcentral lists this ribosomal RNA (253 nucleotides) under uncultured bacterium. RNAcentral describes it as "partial 16S ribosomal RNA". It matches the Rfam family "Bacterial small subunit ribosomal RNA", at positions 524 to 776 of the family's 1533-position model. The record is from RNAcentral.